RNAcentral lists this transfer RNA (72 nucleotides) under Bos taurus (domestic cattle). It matches the Rfam family "tRNA". Rfam says of the family: Transfer RNA (tRNA) molecules are approximately 80 nucleotides in length. Their secondary structure includes four short double-helical elements and three loops (D, anti-codon, and T loops). Lineage: Eukaryota; Metazoa; Chordata; Mammalia; Artiodactyla; Bovidae. The record is from Rfam by way of RNAcentral. RNAcentral also lists the same sequence under 2 other names.
UCCCUAUUAGUUCAGUUGAUAAAAAAUCUGCCUGCAAUGCAGAAGACCCUGGUUCACUUCCUGGGUUGGGAA